RNAcentral lists this transfer RNA (65 nucleotides) under Dipodomys ordii (Ord's kangaroo rat). It matches the Rfam family "tRNA". From Rfam's summary of the family: Transfer RNA (tRNA) molecules are approximately 80 nucleotides in length. The record is from Rfam by way of RNAcentral. Lineage: Eukaryota; Metazoa; Chordata; Mammalia; Rodentia; Heteromyidae.
GGUGGCUCAAUGGUAAAGUGCUUGCUUCACAUGCAAGAGGCCCUAGGUUCAAUUCCUCAGCACCA